GACGAACGCUGGCGGCGUGCUUAACACAUGCAAGUCGAGCGGUAAGGCCCUUUCGGGGGUACACGAGCGGCGAACGGGUAAGUAACACGUGGGUGACCUGCCCUCAGCUCUGGGAUAAGCCUGGGAAACCGGGUCUAAUACCGGAUAUGACUCCAUGACGCAUGUUGUGGGGUGGAAAGCCUUGUGCGGCUGAGGAUGGGCCCGCGGCCUAUCAGCUUGUUGGUGGGGUGAUGGCCUACCAAGGCGACGACGGGUAGCCGGCCUGAGAGGGCGACCGGCCACACUGGGACUGAGACACGGCCCAGACUCCUACGGGAGCCAGCAGUGGGGAAUCUUGCGCAAUGGGCGAAAGCCUGACGCAGCGACGCCGCGUGAGGGAUGACGGCCU
Molecule: ribosomal RNA, 388 nt
Filed under: uncultured bacterium
Lineage: Bacteria
Description: bacterial SSU rRNA
Rfam family: Bacterial small subunit ribosomal RNA
Source: RNAcentral